CCUACGGGUGGCAGCAGUGGGGAAUAUUGGACAAUGGGCGAAAGCCUGAUCCAGCCAUGCCGCGUGUGUGAAGAAGGCCUUCGGGUUGUAAAGCACUUUCAGUGGGGAAGAAAGCCUUGGGGCUAAUACCCUCGAGGAAGGACAUCACCCACAGAAGAAGCACCGGCUAACUCCGUGCCAGCAGCCGCGGUAAUACGGAGGGUGCGAGCGUUAAUCGGAAUUACUGGGCGUAAAGCGCGCGUAGGCGGUCUGAUAAGCCUGUUGUGAAAGCCCCGGGCUCAACCUGGGAACGGCAUCCGGAACUGUCAGGCUAGAGUGCAGGAGAGGAAGGUAGAAUUCCCGGUGUAGCGGUGAAAUGCGUAGAGAUCGGGAGGAAUACCAGUGGCGAAGGCGGCCUUCUGGACUGACACUGACGCUGAGGUGCGAAAGCGUGGGUAGCAAACAGGAUUAGAUACCCCUGUAGUC
Molecule: ribosomal RNA, 465 nt
Filed under: Vreelandella stevensii
Lineage: Bacteria; Pseudomonadati; Pseudomonadota; Gammaproteobacteria; Oceanospirillales; Halomonadaceae
Description: partial 16S ribosomal RNA
Rfam family: Bacterial small subunit ribosomal RNA
Source: RNAcentral